UGUCCAGGGAUGGCGAAUCGAACCAACAGUAUUCUGAUACCGGGCAGAUGCCAUGUCUACUAGGCUAUCCUGGAC
Non-coding RNA from Cordylochernes scorpioides, 75 nucleotides. The record is from the annotation of a GenBank genome assembly. NCBI's taxonomy places the organism in Eukaryota, Metazoa, Arthropoda, Arachnida, Pseudoscorpiones, Chernetidae.